ACUAGUAAUCGCAGAUCAGAAUGCUGCGGUGAAUGCGUUCCCGGGUCUUGUACACACCGCCCGUCACACCACGGAAGUUGGGGGCGCCCGAAGCCACUUAUCUAACCCUUUUGGGAAGCGAGCGUCGAAGGUGAAAUCAAUAACUGGGGUGAAGUCGUAACAAGGUAUC
Molecule: ribosomal RNA, 169 nt
Filed under: uncultured bacterium
Lineage: Bacteria
Description: partial 16S ribosomal RNA
Rfam family: Bacterial small subunit ribosomal RNA
Source: RNAcentral